GGCGCAGCCUGGUAGCGCGCCUGAUUUGCAAUCAGGAGGCCGUGGGUUCAAAAGCCCACGCGCCGCA
RNAcentral lists this transfer RNA (67 nucleotides) under Candidatus Micrarchaeota archaeon CG10_big_fil_rev_8_21_14_0_10_54_18. RNAcentral's name for it is "tRNA-Ala". It matches the Rfam family "tRNA", at positions 9 to 71 of the family's 71-position model. Rfam says of the family: Transfer RNA (tRNA) molecules are approximately 80 nucleotides in length. Lineage: Archaea; Nanobdellati; Microcaldota. The record is from RNAcentral.